RNAcentral lists this ribosomal RNA (407 nucleotides) under uncultured bacterium. Its description in RNAcentral is "partial 16S ribosomal RNA". It matches the Rfam family "Bacterial small subunit ribosomal RNA", at positions 28 to 526 of the family's 1533-position model. The record is from RNAcentral.
GACGAACGCUGGCGGCGUGCUUAACACAUGCAAGUCGAACGCAGUGGCAGACGGGUGAGUAACGCGUAAUCAAACUGCUCUUCAGAGGGGGACAACGGUUCGAAACGACUGCUAAUACCGUAUACUGUAGGAGGGGAUUGCGUCUGAUUAGAUAGUUGGUGGGGUAACGGCCCACAAAGGCGAUGAUCAGUAGCCGGUCUGAGAGGGUGAUCGGCCAAAUGGGGACGUGGACACGGCCCAGACUCCUACGGGAGGCAGCAGUGGGUAAACUUGGACAAUGGGCGCAAGCCUGAUGCAGCCAUGCCGCGUGUAUGAAGAAGGCCCUAGGGUUGUAAAAUACUUUCAGUCGGGAGCGUUACCGACAGAAGAAGCACCGGCUAACUCCGUGCCAGCAGCCGCGGUAAUAC